CUUGAGCUGACAAUGCUUGGGAGACAUUUUGUUCCAGAAUAAGUCUAGGUUACACAGGGAUUAGGUAAAGAUAUAUCCACACUUUUCAACUUGCCAUUGUAUUAUAACUUUAUGCACUCUGUUGACUAAACAUCACUCUUAUUUACACAAUCAAACCCCUGUGAGUUUAUUGUGAUUCAUUAUACAUUUUACUUCCCCUCCCACUUCUUUGCUUAAACAGGUAGUGCUUGUCAAGGACCUGGUCCUAAAGGCAUGAAGUUGUGACUAAGAAGCUGAGAAUUUGAUGCCUUGACAGAGCCUGGUGGGAAAGGAAGGGCAUGGGGCUGCACACUCCCCCCAUGCUGCAGGGAGAUGCUGCAGUCAGUAAGCAAAGUGGAAGGCAUAAGAUUUGUCCUUGUUCAUGAAGAACAAGAUGGGCAAAAGACAGCCAAAGACAAGUGCAGCUCCUCAUCUUUCUGGGAUCUUGUUUCCGUGCUCAUAACAGUCCCUGUUGUGAUGCAAUCUGGCAACUCUCGUAUCCUUGCAACAAGGAUGUACCUCUUUGAACUUUUUGCAAGAAAGGAAGGAAAAUCUCAAAUAAUGAACUCAGACCUUGACUUGCAAAGGAAGAAAGAACAUGCCAUUUUCAAAUGCCUGACUCAUUUCAUAAAUUGCAAAGACAUUUAUACUUUUCAAAAGAAAUUCCUCAAAUACAGUAGUGUUCGAACCAUGGGGUCCAUUUCUGAGAUGGUAGAGAUCUGCAAAACUCCCCAGAAGCUAUAUGUGUUAUGUGUAAAGAUUUUGACCUUUGCAUCCAAUUUGAAGCAGCUAUUGAGAGAAAAAUGA
Molecule: long non-coding RNA, 825 nt
Filed under: Anas platyrhynchos platyrhynchos (common mallard)
Lineage: Eukaryota; Metazoa; Chordata; Aves; Anseriformes; Anatidae
Description: lncRNA (ENSAPLG00000026750.1)
Source: RNAcentral